CAGCAGCCGCGGGAAAACGUAGGGGGCAAGCGUUAUCCGGAAUAACUGGGCGUAAAGGGUGCGCAGGUGGUUUAACAAGUUAGUGGUGAAAGGCAUAGGCUCAACCAAUGUAAGCCAUUAAAACUGUUUAACUUGAGUGCAGGAGAGGAAAGUGGAAUUCCUAGUGUAGCGGUGAAAUGCGUAGAUAUUAGGAGGAAUACCAGUGGCGAAGGCGACUUUCUGGACUGCAACUGACACUGAGGCACGAAAGCGUGGGGAGCAAACAGGAUUAGAGACCCCAGUAGUCCCUGUCUCUUAUACA
RNAcentral lists this ribosomal RNA (301 nucleotides) under uncultured bacterium. RNAcentral's name for it is "partial 16S ribosomal RNA". It matches the Rfam family "Bacterial small subunit ribosomal RNA", at positions 509 to 808 of the family's 1533-position model. The record is from RNAcentral.